UACGUAAGGAGCAAGCGUUGUUCGGAUUUACUGGGCGUAAAGGGCGCGUAGGCGGCGCGGUAAGUCACUUGUGAAAUCUCUGAGCUUAACUCAGAACGGCCAAGUGAUACUGCAGUGCUAGAGUGCAGAAGGGGCAAUCGGAAUUCUUGGUGUAGCGGUGAAAUGCGUAGAUAUCAAGAGGAACACCUGAGGUGAAGACGGGUUGCUAGGCUGACACUGACGCUGAGGCGCGAAAGCCAGGGGAGCAAACGGG
RNAcentral lists this ribosomal RNA (253 nucleotides) under uncultured bacterium. RNAcentral's name for it is "partial 16S ribosomal RNA". It matches the Rfam family "Bacterial small subunit ribosomal RNA", at positions 524 to 776 of the family's 1533-position model. The record is from RNAcentral.